This 491-nucleotide ribosomal RNA is filed under the name uncultured bacterium. RNAcentral describes it as "partial 16S ribosomal RNA". It matches the Rfam family "Bacterial small subunit ribosomal RNA", at positions 30 to 506 of the family's 1533-position model. The record is from RNAcentral.
AUUGAACGCUGGCGGCAUGCUUUACACAUGCAAGUCGAACGGUAACAGGCCUUCGGGUGCUGACGAGUGGCGAACGGGUGAGUAAUGCAUCGGAACGUGCCCAGAGGUGGGGGAUAACGCAGCGAAAGCUGUGCUAAUACCGCAUGUGAUCUGAGGAUGAAAGCGGGGGACCAAGCAGCAAUGUUUGGCCUCGCGCCUCUGGAGCGGCCGAUGUCAGAUUAGGUAGUUGGUGGGGUAAAGGCCUACCAAGCCGACGAUCUGUAGCUGGUCUGAGAGGACGACCAGCCACACUGGGACUGAGACACGGCCCAGACUCCUACGGGAGGCAGCAGUGGGGAAUUUUGGACAAUGGGCGCAAGCCUGAUCCAGCAAUGCCGCGUGCGGGAAGAAGGCCUUCUGGUUGUAAACCGCUUUUGUACGGAACGAAAAGGCUCUGGCUAAUACCUGGGGCUGAUGACGGUACCGUAAGAAUAAGCACCGGCUAACUACGU